AGCGCACGCGCGCGUGCUCGGACGCGUGCAGAUUGUUAGUGCACGCGCGCUGUAGCGAGCGCGACGCGCGCCGCGUGCUCGUCGCCACCGCCGCGCCGCGCGCCGCACGCGCUCUCCGCCUGGCCUUGGACUACGCAUUUACUGACACCAUGCACGACCACAAGUAUAAAAGAGCAACAGAAGCGUUUGUGCAGUUUAAGGAAGCCUUAGUCCAGUUAGUC
RNAcentral lists this unclassified non-coding RNA (221 nucleotides) under Melitaea cinxia (Glanville fritillary). RNAcentral describes it as "misc RNA ENSMCXG00005003683.1". Lineage: Eukaryota; Metazoa; Arthropoda; Insecta; Lepidoptera; Nymphalidae. The record is from RNAcentral.